AAGUCGUAACAAGGUAACCGUAGGUGAACCUGCGGUUGGAUCAUUACAAAUAUUGAAAAGGUUCUUGUUGAUCUUUAUGGUCAGCGAGAGCCUUUUCCGUCGGCUCCAUUGAUUGAUCAAUGGUUGAAUGCCUUCGACACCCUUGUGAACCAUGUUUUCGCCUCUUUUGGCGAAAAACAAACUCGUUUUAUUGUUAUACCUUGCUGAACAAAAAAAAUAAUAAUGAGAAACAACUUUAGACAACGGAUCUCUUGGCUCUC
This 260-nucleotide unclassified non-coding RNA is filed under the name fungal sp. RNAcentral describes it as "partial internal transcribed spacer region". The stretch from base 1 to 46 matches the Rfam family "Eukaryotic small subunit ribosomal RNA", at positions 1786 to 1831 of the family's 1831-position model. Lineage: Eukaryota; Fungi. The record is from RNAcentral.